UGUGUAGGUGGUUAGAUAAGUUAGAUGUGAAAUCCCCGGGCUUAACCUGGGCACUGCGUUUAAGACUGUUUAACUAGAGUACUGUAGAGGAUAGUGGAAUUUCCAGUGUAGCGGUGAAAUGCGUAGAUAUUGGAAGGAACACCAGUGGCGAAGGCGACUAUCUGGACAGAUACUGACACUGAGACACGAAAGCGUGGGGAGCAAACAGGAUUAGAUACCCUGGUAGUCCAUGCUGUAAACUAUGAGAACUUGCUGUUGGAUGCAUAAAGGCAUUUAGUAGCGAAGCUAACGCGUUAAGUUCUCCGCCUGGGGAGUACGGCCGCAAGGCUAAA
RNAcentral lists this ribosomal RNA (332 nucleotides) under uncultured Beggiatoa sp. Its description in RNAcentral is "bacterial SSU rRNA". It matches the Rfam family "Bacterial small subunit ribosomal RNA", at positions 568 to 898 of the family's 1533-position model. Lineage: Bacteria; Pseudomonadati; Pseudomonadota; Gammaproteobacteria; Thiotrichales; Thiotrichaceae. The record is from RNAcentral.